This 492-nucleotide ribosomal RNA is filed under the name uncultured bacterium. Its description in RNAcentral is "partial 16S ribosomal RNA". It matches the Rfam family "Bacterial small subunit ribosomal RNA", at positions 29 to 507 of the family's 1533-position model. The record is from RNAcentral.
AGUGAACGCUGGCGGUAGGCCUAACACAUGCAAGUCGAACGGCAGCACAGUAAGAGCUUGCUCUUACGGGUGGCGAGUGGCGGACGGGUGAGGAAUACAUCGGAAUCUACUUUUUCGUGGGGGAUAACGUAGGGAAACUUACGCUAAUACCGCAUACGACCUACGGGUGAAAGCAGGGGAUCUUUGGACCUUGCGCGAUUGAAUGAGCCGAUGUCGGAUUGGAUAGUUGGCGGGGUAAAGGCCCACCAAGGCGACGAUCCGUAGCUGGUCUGAGAGGAUGAUCAGCCACACUGGAACUGAGACACGGUCCAGACUCCUACGGGAGGCAGCAGUGGGGAAUAUUGGACAAUGGACGCAAGCCUGAUCCAGCCAUACCGCGUGGGUGAAGAAGGCCUUCGGGUUGUAAAGCCCUUUUGUUGGGAAAGAAAAGCAGCAGGUUAAUACCCCGCUGUUCUGACGGUACCCAAAGAAUAAGCACCGGCUAACUUCGUG